RNAcentral lists this ribosomal RNA (479 nucleotides) under uncultured bacterium. RNAcentral's name for it is "partial 16S ribosomal RNA". It matches the Rfam family "Bacterial small subunit ribosomal RNA", at positions 28 to 507 of the family's 1533-position model. The record is from RNAcentral.
GAUGAACGCUAGCGGGAGGCCUAACACAUGCAAGCCGAGCGGUAUUUGUUCUUCGGAACAGAGAGCGCGGCGCACGGGUGCGGAACACGUGUGCAACCUGCCUUUCUCUGGGUGUUAGCCUUUCUCAAGGAAGAUUAAUACCCCAUAAUAUAUUGAGUGGCAUCACUUGAUAUUGAAAACUCCGGUGGAUAGAGAUGGGCACGCGCAAGAUUAGAUAGUUGGUGAGGUAACGGCUCACCAAGUCAAUGAUCUUUAGGGGGCCUGAGAGGGUGAUCCCCCAGAGGGGUACUGAGACAAGGACCAGACACAUACGGGAGGCAGCAGUGAGGAAUAUAGAACAAGGGAUCAGCGCCUGAUCCAGCCAUCCCGCGUGAAGGACGACGGCCCGAUGGGUUGUAAACUUCUGGUGUAUAGGGAUAAACGUACGCGCGGGAGAGUAGCUGAAGGUAAUAUACGAAGAAGCACCGGCUAACUACGUG